RNAcentral lists this ribosomal RNA (386 nucleotides) under uncultured bacterium. RNAcentral describes it as "bacterial SSU rRNA". It matches the Rfam family "Bacterial small subunit ribosomal RNA", at positions 29 to 416 of the family's 1533-position model. The record is from RNAcentral.
AUUGAACGCUGGCGGCGUGCCUAACACAUGCAAGUCGAGCGGUAACAGGUGUAGCAAUACAUGCUGACGAGCGGCGAACGGGUGAGUAAUGCUUCGGAAUCUACCCAAUGGUGGGGAAUAACCAGCCGAAAGGUUGGCUAAUACCGCAUACGUCCCACGGGAGAAAGCAGGGGAUCGCAAGACCUUGCGCCAAUGGAUGAGCCGAAGUCGGAUUAGCUAGUUGGAGGGUAACGGCCUACCAAGGCGACGAUCCGUAGCUGGUCUGAGAGGACGACCAGCCACACUGGGACUGAGACACGGCCAGACUCCUACGGGAGGCAGCAGUGGGGAAUAUUGGACAAUGGGGGAAACCCUGAUCCAGCGACGCCGCGUGUGUGAAGAAGGCC